This 392-nucleotide ribosomal RNA is filed under the name uncultured bacterium. RNAcentral describes it as "partial 16S ribosomal RNA". It matches the Rfam family "Bacterial small subunit ribosomal RNA", at positions 523 to 918 of the family's 1533-position model. The record is from RNAcentral.
AUACGGAGGAUGCAAGCGUUAUCCGGAUUUAUUGGGUUUAAAGGGAGCGUAGGCGGGAGCUUAAGUCAGCGGUUAAAUGGUGCGGCUCAACCGUGCCCUGCCGUUGAAACUGGGUUUCUUGAGAGUGCAAGAGGCGGAUGGUAUUCAUGGUGUAGCGGUGAAAUGCUUAGAUAUCAUGAAGAACUCCGAUUGCGAAGGCAGUCCGCUGGGGCACGUCUGACGCUGAUGCUCGAAGGUGCGGGAAUCAAACAGGAUUAGAUACCCUGGUAGUCCGCACGGUAAACGAUGAUUACCCGCUGUCGGCGGCAGACAGUCGGCGGCCAAGCGAAAGCGAUAAGUAAUCCACCUGGGGAGUACGCCGGCAACGGUGAAACUUAAAGGAAUUGACGGGG